This 265-nucleotide long non-coding RNA is filed under the name Camarhynchus parvulus. Its description in RNAcentral is "lncRNA (ENSCPVG00000017816.1)". The record is from RNAcentral. Lineage: Eukaryota; Metazoa; Chordata; Aves; Passeriformes; Thraupidae.
GCCGGCACCGCCCGCGGGCCAGCAGGGUGCGUUGCGCCGCGCGGUGUCUGAGGCGGCGGCUCCGCUCCGCGCCCGCCGCGCCCGCUCCCGCCGGUACCGGAGAUUUGUCCUUUCCACCCUGCAUUGAGUGCCAGAGGAGCUGGGGACACCUGCCCAGGAGCAGUCGAGGAAUCCAGAAAAAAAAAUCAAGGAAUCCACCCAGAGAACGAGGCUGCUCUGCAGUAGGAAGGAUUCUGCUGUGCUGGGGCCCGGAGCCGAUGGCAGA